Molecule: ribosomal RNA, 443 nt
Filed under: uncultured bacterium
Lineage: Bacteria
Description: partial 16S ribosomal RNA
Rfam family: Bacterial small subunit ribosomal RNA
Source: RNAcentral
CCUACGGGUGGCAGCAGUGGGGAAUAUUGGGCAAUGGGCGCAAGCCUGACCCAGCAACGCCGCGUGAAGGAAGAAGGCCUUCGGGUUGUAAACUUCUUUUCUCAGGGACGAAGAAAGUGACGGUACCUGAGGACUAAGUUACGGUUAACUACGUGCCAGCAGCCGCGGUAAUCCGCAGGCGGCAAGCGUUAUCCGGAUGUACGGGGUGUAAAGGGAGUGUAGGUGGGGAGGCAAGUCAGAUGUGAAAGCCACGGGCUCAAGGUGUGGCCUGCAUAUGAAACUGUUUUUCUUGAGUACAGGUGAGGCAGGCGGAAUUCGUGGUGUAGCGGUGAAAUGCGUAGAUAUUAGGAAGAACACCAGUUGCGAAGGCAGUCUGUUAAACAGCAACUGACGCUGAUGCGCGAAAGCGUGGGGAGCAAACAGGAUUAGAUACCCUUGUAGUC